ACAUUGUUGACGAGUCCCAAACAGGACGAAACCAGCUGUCCAGUGC
Molecule: non-coding RNA, 46 nt
Filed under: Echinostoma caproni
Lineage: Eukaryota; Metazoa; Platyhelminthes; Trematoda; Plagiorchiida; Echinostomatidae
Source: RNAcentral